This 253-nucleotide ribosomal RNA is filed under the name uncultured bacterium. RNAcentral describes it as "partial 16S ribosomal RNA". It matches the Rfam family "Bacterial small subunit ribosomal RNA", at positions 524 to 776 of the family's 1533-position model. The record is from RNAcentral.
UACGUAGGUGGCAAGCGUUGUCCGGAUUUAUUGGGCGUAAAGCGCGCGCAGGCGGUUCGUUUAGUCCGAGGUGAAAUCUCCCGGCUCAACUGGGAGGGGUCUUCGGAUACUGGCGGACUUGAGGAGAGCAGAGGUGAGUGGAAUUCUCGGUGUAGUGGUGAAAUGCGUAGAGAUCCGGAGGAACACCAGUGGCGAAGGCGGCUGGCUGGACCUGACCUGACGCUGAGGCGCGAAGGCGUGGGGAGCAAACAGG